RNAcentral lists this ribosomal RNA (462 nucleotides) under Triticum aestivum (bread wheat). RNAcentral's name for it is "partial small subunit ribosomal RNA". The record is from RNAcentral. Lineage: Eukaryota; Viridiplantae; Streptophyta; Magnoliopsida; Poales; Poaceae.
AUGAAACUGAAGGUCCAGUUUCCAGUGAACAUAGAAGCAAUAUUUUCCAGACCGCAUAGAAAGGCACUCCGCAAUGCAACUCAUCACAGCCUCAUGGAGCAAGCACGUGCUACAACAGAGAUCCAAAAGGUAAACUCUGAGCUCAGCCAUCAGGUCACCGAAUUACAAGAUCAAUUACAAGCUGAACGUGAAAGCACACAAGAGAGGAUUAACUUUGAGCGUGCUGAGAGAGAAAACCUUGAGGAGAGCUUAAAAGAAGAGCGUGCUGAUACGGAAAGAUUGUUGGAAGAGGAGCGAAUAAGAUCAACAUUGAAAUUUGAGAAAAACAUGAUGGCAAAGUUUGCACAGUUAUCCCAACAGACGCAAACACAUCAGAUGAAUAAGAAAAGGACUAGCAAAGAAUUAGUAAUCCAAACUUGCAAAAUACUCUUUUAUAGACCGCUAGUACUACUGGGACUCUAG